AUGACGAGGACCAGGCUUGUACAAGCCAUAGAUCAAAUCCGACAAGAGAAGAAAUAUGUGUGUCUGAGGAACCAAGACGCCAAAGGUUCAGAGCGGCAUUGUGCUGAAAAAGCCAGGACAAUCUUUCAGAGAACUAGGAAAGUAAUGGUGGACUCUCAUGAAGCACAAAGACAGAUAAUGUUUGAGGCAAAUUCCUUCACCGGCCCUGCGUAUGAGAAAUUCUGCAAUGAUGCCCAACGGCAUGCUACUCUCAAGCUGGAGGUCGAGCUUAGGAACUGGAGGUCCUGCUUCGUGAGCUACGUCAGUGCUGAGAAGGCGUACAUCGAAUCCCUUGAUGGUUGGUUGUCCAAGCUUGCUCGCGCUCGACAGGACCAGCGAGUAGCACACUACGCUGUUGACAACCGGAUCCUCCUCACAACUGACUCCGGCAUGGGUAUUCCUCUCCUCUGCCAUCUCUCUCUCUUUCUCAUGCCAGUGGGCCGUGUUACUGUACACUCGACUACCCAUUCCAACCCAAGAAGACGACUCAAGGGAGGACUGAUCUAUAUUUUGCGAGUACACUUGUACUUCCCUGAUUUCUGCCCCAAAUAG
RNAcentral lists this ribosomal RNA (591 nucleotides) under Triticum aestivum (bread wheat). RNAcentral's name for it is "partial small subunit ribosomal RNA". Lineage: Eukaryota; Viridiplantae; Streptophyta; Magnoliopsida; Poales; Poaceae. The record is from RNAcentral.